GCCUACUAUAGUCCAAGAUGACUUUCAUGGUCUUUUAUUUGCCGAUCAGCCUUACACUAUACAGUUUCCGCACUUGUCUACAAAGUUCACCUCAGUGACCUUUAAUAAGUCUUUGUUAUUGGCAAGUUAAUUACUUAUAUCCAAGACAUGGAGAUGUGGGUCCAGUAUGAGCAGGAUUUGGGAAAUGGCAGUUGCCAAGAACUCACAUGAAGUUUCAAGGUUUUUCCCUUUAUUUGGAGGAAAAAAAGUUUUUGUCCUUUGUUUGUUGUGCAGAAUUGCAAACCUAGAAAGAAAUCAAGUUGAAAGAAUUUAUAUAAAUGUAUUUGCCCUUCUUUUGACCCUUCUACAUCAUGAAUAUUUGGUGGCUGUUGCUUGGCGACUGUGAGAUCUCUCCAUAGGAUUGACAUGGGCUGGGCCUCUCAAUGACCUUGAUAUGAUUGUUCUUCAGCCAUUCCUUGGUUGCCUUGGCUGUAGGUUCUAGGUCACUAACCUGUUGGAAGACCCAUCCAUGACUGAUUUGAAGGGUCCUGGCUUAAGGAGGGUAGGAAGUUCUCACUCAGGAUUUUCCAUUAAUGGCUCCAUCAACGUGGUGACGUAGCUCUGUGCAGAAAAAUAGCCACAAAGCAUAAUGCUUCCACCUCCAUGUUUGACAGUGGGGAAGCUGUUCUUGGGGUCAUAGGUAGCAAUUCUCUUCCUCCAAACCCAAUGGUUGAGUUGAUGCCAAAGAGCUCAGUUUUGAGCCAAACAUUCCAUUAUGCAGAAUAAACUGAUAAAGCAAACCCUAUUUUUCAGUGUGUGAUUUUCAUUUUUUCAUAAAUCUUAGGACAAUUUAGAUGAUAAAAGUAAUAAAUAUAUGAAAACAGUAUAAUACAGUAAAUAUGUAAAUAUUUGAUGUGAUGAACAAUGCUUAUCUGAUUUAGACCCAACAUGGAAUAUUUUAUGACAGACACACAUCAAGUUGUGUUAUUUAAUGCUCGUAAUUUAGACACAAAUGAUAGAAAUGUUAGGUUUAUAUGUCAAAGAGGCCAUGUGAAAAUUUUAGUGCAAAUACGCAUGCGUGCGCGCCGUGCACAUUAAGCCACCCCACCCCCACGUAUCCGCGCGCCGGUCGGUGGGUGUUGGGCGUCAAUAAAGGUAAUCUGGUUGUCGCGCGUUCUGCAUCUCUGCACGAGCUAAAGAAGUCUCAAAGCUGACUCUGCCACGAGGCUCGACAACUUCUUGCAUCAACUGUGAUCGCUGUGGCCGCCAAAACAUCCAAAUGUAAGGCGGGCUACAAAGAUUUCAGGCCAAAAGAGAACGCCUCACAUGUGAUGAAGUGUCUGUAUUGGUUGGAAAAACCAGCAGCCCUCCAGUGCUUCAGCCGUCCAACCAUCAACCGUUUCAGACAUCCAUCCUCCCACCACUUCAGCCCCACAGCCGUCCACCAGUGUCCCAAGUCCUGACAUUUUACUAUCCUGGGGGGGGUCAUGGCCUCUACACUGGAUUCCAAAAAAGAGACAAAAACCCCCCCGACCUCAACCCCCACUCUUAGUCAGACAUGUUUAUUUUUUUUUAUUUACAAUAAUAAAUAAUAUACUAUGUACAUUUAUUUUGUUUUACUUUUUUAUACUUAGUUUCCUUAUUUCCUAUAAUAUUUAUUAGUAGUUGUUGUUUGUUGAUGUUAGUUCUUUUUAGCCCCUUUUAUGUUAAAAUAGACGUAAAUGAUCCAGAUGCUGAUAUUCUAAUAUAUAGACAGAUUUAUGAAUGAAUUAUUCUCAACAGAAGUUCAACGCUAUUGUGGUAGCAGUUUGACUGUUUUACUGUAAUCUGUCGUGCCUCACCCACUGUCCAUCCCAUAAAAAAGAACAAUUCUACAUCAUUAACCUUUUUUUAUUUUUAUUCAUAUGGCACAUUCAUAAAUACAAAGUUAUAAAUCAUACCCCCCAUUUUUCUGACUUUAUCAAUGAGUUCAAACAAAACAUGAACACAGUAAGAAACUCUGACAAUAAGAAAGCAUUUAAAACAUUCAAUCUGUGCGUCAGUUUCAAUGUUUUUGUGAAAAAUUUCAUAAUAAUCCCCUGGUUUGUUUCUGUCUUGUUGCUUUUUGGAAUUGUUGUUUUGAAUUGUUACAGUCAAUAAAGUUUGAAUAAAAAACAA
Long non-coding RNA from Oryzias latipes (Japanese medaka), 2136 nucleotides. RefSeq lists it as uncharacterized. NCBI's taxonomy places the organism in Eukaryota, Metazoa, Chordata, Actinopteri, Beloniformes, Adrianichthyidae. The record is from RefSeq and is a predicted model, not a curated record.